ACGAACGCUGGCGGCGUGCUUAACACAUGCAAGUCGCACGGAAAGGCCCUGCUUUUGUGGGGUGCUCGAGUGGCGAACGGGUGAGUAACACGUGAGUAACCUGCCCUUGACUUUGGGAUAACUUCAGGAAACUGGGGCUAAUACCGGAUAGGAGCUCCUGCUGCAUGGUGGGGGUUGGAAAGUUUCGGCGGUUGGGGAUGGACUCGCGGCUUAUCAGCUUGUUGGUGGGGUAGUGGCUUACCAAGGCUUUGACGGGUAGCCGGCCUGAGAGGGUGACCGGCCACAUUGGGACUGAGAUACGGCCCAGUCUCCUACGGGAGGCAGCAGUGGGGAAUAUUGCACAAUGGGCGGAAGCCUGAUGCAGCAACGCCGCGUGCGGGAUGACGGCCUUCGGGUUGUAAACCGCUUUCGCCUGUGACGAAGCGUGAGUGACGGUAAUGGGUAAAGAAGCACCGGCUAACUACGUG
RNAcentral lists this ribosomal RNA (467 nucleotides) under uncultured bacterium. Its description in RNAcentral is "partial 16S ribosomal RNA". It matches the Rfam family "Bacterial small subunit ribosomal RNA", at positions 29 to 507 of the family's 1533-position model. The record is from RNAcentral.